This 550-nucleotide long non-coding RNA is filed under the name Elaeis guineensis (African oil palm). Its description in RNAcentral is "long non-coding RNA (EGUI_LNC015819)". The record is from RNAcentral. Lineage: Eukaryota; Viridiplantae; Streptophyta; Magnoliopsida; Arecales; Arecaceae.
CACAAAUUUAUUAAUAUUACUACCUACAUGCGUGUGGAGCAUAUACUUUAACAUAAAAGUUUACAUUCUCCAUGGAUAACUAUUGUAGAUCAGAGUAAGAGUUGUAAGGUGCAAAGGAUGAAGAAGAUGGGAAAAGUAGCAAGACAAAUCAAUAAAGUUAGGCUUGUGGCUACAAUUAUGGGUAUGUUUCUUAUUAAAUUGAAGUCACUUUGUGUUAGAAUUAUGAUCUAGUCUUGAACUCUUCUAGACAAAGUCUACAGUACUGGAACUAACACUCGUACCUGUAGGCCAGCGGUACAGUAUGGUAUGGUGCUGUGCCAUCCCGUCCCAAUGCAUGGUAAAAAAGGAAACCAAAGAGGGAGAGGAAGAAGGAGAGAGGAAAAGAGAGAGCGGGAGGGGGAGAGAGAGAUGCCAUGAGAGAGAGUGAGAGGGGGCUCGAAAGUCCUCUCCUCCGGUCGUCCACAAGCCCCAUUAGGUGGAACCUUGUUUCGAACAAAAUAAAGGCUUGGAGGGGUGAGGGAGAGAGGGAGGGGGAGAGAGAGAUACCUGG